RNAcentral lists this ribosomal RNA (273 nucleotides) under uncultured bacterium. RNAcentral describes it as "partial 16S ribosomal RNA". It matches the Rfam family "Bacterial small subunit ribosomal RNA", at positions 85 to 354 of the family's 1533-position model. The record is from RNAcentral.
CCGCCGGCGACCGGCGCACGGGUGAGUAACACGUAUGCAACCUGGCCGUGACAGAUGGAUAACCGGGAGAAAUCCCGCCUAAUACAACAUAAUGCCGGGAGGGGACAUCCCCUGCCGGCCAAAGGGGGCGACCCCGGUCACGGAUGGGCAUGCGGCGCAUUAGGUAGUUGGUGGGGCAACGGCCCACCAAGCCGACGAUGCGUAGGGGUUCUGAGAGGAAGGUCCCCCACACUGGUACUGAGACACGGACCAGACUCCUACGGGAGGCAGCAG